AGAUCACUGCAAGAAGUCCUAGGAGUCACUCCAGCGGAAGAGACACUCCGGGGAGCAUGAUCGUCAUGCACUUGGUUGGGCAUCCUCAGCUGACAGGGACGGAAGGUGUGGCCACUGCUCACACCAAGGAGAACUCAUCCAGGGGCCCAAGAGAGACCAGGGAGCCUGCUCCUUGCACAAGGUCCUGGAGGAGCCGCUUCCAGAGAGCUGUGGCACGAGUGUCCAAGUUCUUCAGGAGAAGACGCCGAUCAACCUGAAGCUGAGACCAGUGGAAUCCUAGAUACUGGGCCGGGCCAAGGACUGUGAUCAAGAUCAUUGGCUGCGCAGCUCCUUGCUGUCCCAAGAAUCUUGUCCAGUGAUGUUGAAAUAAAUGCUGGCAGACUUUCAAAUUUUCUUUGA
Molecule: long non-coding RNA, 399 nt
Organism: Mus musculus (house mouse)
Lineage: Eukaryota; Metazoa; Chordata; Mammalia; Rodentia; Muridae
Gene: Fam236c
Product: family with sequence similarity 236, member C
Exons: 3
Source: RefSeq, marked validated